CGCGUGAGCAAUCUGCCUUUGGAUGGGGGAUAACAGCCGGAAACGACUGCUAAUACCGCAUAAUGCAGCGGGACCGCAUGAUUUUGCUGCCAAAGAUUUAUCGUCCAAAGAUGAGCUCGCGUCUGAUUAGCCAGUUGGCGGGGUAACGGCCCACCAAAGCGACGAUCAGUAGCCGGACUGAGAGGUUGAACGGCCACAUUGGGACUGAGACACGGCCCAGACUCCUACGGAAGGCAGCAG
This 240-nucleotide ribosomal RNA is filed under the name uncultured bacterium. Its description in RNAcentral is "partial 16S ribosomal RNA". It matches the Rfam family "Bacterial small subunit ribosomal RNA", at positions 114 to 354 of the family's 1533-position model. The record is from RNAcentral.